RNAcentral lists this ribosomal RNA (896 nucleotides) under Massilia brevitalea. RNAcentral's name for it is "bacterial SSU rRNA". It matches the Rfam family "Bacterial small subunit ribosomal RNA", at positions 99 to 992 of the family's 1533-position model. The record is from RNAcentral. Lineage: Bacteria; Pseudomonadati; Pseudomonadota; Betaproteobacteria; Burkholderiales; Oxalobacteraceae.
CGAACGGGUGAGUAAUAUAUCGGAACGUACCCAAGAGUGGGGGAUAACGUAGCGAAAGUUACGCUAAUACCGCAUACGAUCUAUGGAUGAAAGUGGGGGAUCGCAAGACCUCAUGCUCCUGGAGCGGCCGAUAUCUGAUUAGCUAGUUGGUGAGGUAAAGGCUCACCAAGGCGACGAUCAGUAGCUGGUCUGAGAGGACGACCAGCCACACUGGAACUGAGACACGGUCCAGACUCCUACGGGAGGCAGCAGUGGGGAAUUUUGGACAAUGGGCGCAAGCCUGAUCCAGCAAUGCCGCGUGAGUGAAGAAGGCCUUCGGGUUGUAAAGCUCUUUUGUCAGGGAAGAAACGGUGGGAGCUAAUAUCUCCUACUAAUGACGGUACCUGAAGAAUAAGCACCGGCUAACUACGUGCCAGCAGCCGCGGUAAUACGUAGGGUGCAAGCGUUAAUCGGAAUUACUGGGCGUAAAGCGUGCGCAGGCGGUUUUGUAAGUCUGUCGUGAAAGCCCCGGGCUCAACCUGGGAAUUGCGAUGGAGACUGCAAGGCUUGAAUCUGGCAGAGGGGGGUAGAAUUCCACGUGUAGCAGUGAAAUGCGUAGAGAUGUGGAGGAACACCGAUGGCGAAGGCAGCCCCCUGGGUCAAGAUUGACGCUCAUGCACGAAAGCGUGGGGAGCAAACAGGAUUAGAUACCCUGGUAGUCCACGCCCUAAACGAUGUCUACUAGUUGUCGGGUUUUAAUUAACUUGGUAACGCAGCUAACGCGUGAAGUAGACCGCCUGGGGAGUACGGUCGCAAGAUUAAAACUCAAAGGAAUUGACGGGGACCCGCACAAGCGGUGGAUGAUGUGGAUUAAUUCGAUGCAACGCGAAAAACCUUACCUACCCUUGACAUGUACG